This 468-nucleotide ribosomal RNA is filed under the name uncultured bacterium. RNAcentral's name for it is "bacterial SSU rRNA". It matches the Rfam family "Bacterial small subunit ribosomal RNA", at positions 29 to 506 of the family's 1533-position model. The record is from RNAcentral.
AUGAAUGCUGGCGGCGUGUCUAAGGCAUGCAAGUCGAACGGAUUAUGUUUUGUAGCAAUACGAAACAUGGUCAGUGGCAAACGGGUGCGUAACACAUUGGUAACCUGCCCCCCAGUCGGGCAUAACUCGCCGAAAGGCGUGCUAAUUCCACGAUGGACACCUCGAUGUAAAGUCGAGAUGUAAAGCGCAAAACGCGCUGGGGGAGGGGCCUAUGGCCUAUCAGCUAGUUGGUGAGGUAACGGCCCACCAAGGCUAUGACGGGUAGGGGAUGUGAGAGCAUGAUCCCCCUCACUGGGACUGAGACACUGCCCAGACACCUACGGGUGGCUGCAGUCGAGAAUAUUCCCCAAUGGACGAAAGUCUGAGGGAGCGACGCCGCGUGCAGGACGAAGGGCUUCGGCUCGUAAACUGCUUUUACCGAGGAUGAAUCAUGACAGUACUCGGAGAAUAAGAGGUUGCUAACUCUGU